UUUCCGUAGGUGAACCUGCGGAAGGAUCAUUAUUGUAUAACCGAGGUGCGAGGGCUGUCGCUGACCCGAAAGGUCGUGCACGCCCGAGUGCCCUCACACACAUCCAUCUCACCCCUAUGUGCACCACCGCGUGGGCCCCCCUUGGCUUGUUCGGAGGGGGGCUUACGUUUUCACACAAACUUUGUAUGCAGUGUAGAAUGUAUUUUUUGUUUUUGCGAUCACGCAAUCAAUACAACUUUCAACAAUGGAUCUCUUGGCUCUC
Molecule: unclassified non-coding RNA, 262 nt
Filed under: plant metagenome
Description: partial contains small subunit ribosomal RNA, internal transcribed spacer 1, and 5.8S ribosomal RNA
Source: RNAcentral